Molecule: long non-coding RNA, 526 nt
Organism: Manis javanica (Malayan pangolin)
Lineage: Eukaryota; Metazoa; Chordata; Mammalia; Pholidota; Manidae
Source: RefSeq, a predicted model, not a curated record
AAAAGGGAGGAGCUCCUGAUGUGGGGGGUCUGGGUGUGUCCCCUAAAGAAAUAUCACGGUACGAUUGGUGAAAACCACGGAAAGUAGAGAGCGGAGCGAAUCAGAGGUGAGGGAGUGGUACUUCCGGCAGGAUUGCCCAAUCACAGUCAUGAGAAGUUUCUAUAAAGGCUGGAGAAUCGCUAGCACUCGUUCUUUCGGGAUUGAGACGAAAAGGGGUUACGCGGGUGAGUGGGUGUCGUGCGCCACGAUCCGGGGACGCACGGAGCGCGGAAGAGGUGGCUUAAACCCGCAGGCCGCCAGCCCUGGGUCCAGACUCGGCCCGGGCUCCUCUUUUGCACGUUUCAUAUCCCCCCUCCAGUUCUUAGGCGAGAGCGAACCCGCAGACGCACAUCUCCCUACAGGGCCAUCGGUGACCCUGCUGAAGACCUUGAACGUAACUCCGCAUCAGUCCGGGGGCCUGGUGGUGAGGUAGGAGUCAUGUCUGCAUGUGAAGUGCUUAGUAAUAAACCAAAGAUGGGGAAGUUGA